RNAcentral lists this ribosomal RNA (253 nucleotides) under uncultured bacterium. Its description in RNAcentral is "partial 16S ribosomal RNA". It matches the Rfam family "Bacterial small subunit ribosomal RNA", at positions 524 to 776 of the family's 1533-position model. The record is from RNAcentral.
UACGUAGGUGGCAAGCGUUAUCCGGAAUUAUUGGGCGUAAAGCGCGCGCAGGCGGUUUCUUAAGUCUGAUGUGAAAGCCCACGGCUCAACCGUGGAGGGUCAUUGGAAACUGGGGAACUCGAGUGCAGAAGAGAAGAGUGGAAUUCCACGUGUAGCGGUGAAAUGCGUAGAGAUGUGGAGGAACACCGAUGGCGAAGGCAGCCCCCUGGGCUAACACUGACGCUCAGGCACGAAAGCGUGGGGAGCAAACAGG